CACGUGUAGCAGUGAAAUGCGUAGAGAUGUGGAGGAAUACCGAUGGCGAAGGCAGCCCCCUGGGAUAAUACUGACGUUCAUGCUCGAAAGCGUGGGUAGCAAACAGGAUUAGAUACCCUGGUAGUCCACGCCCUAAACGAUGUCGAUUAGCUGUUGGGCAACUUGAUUGCUUAGUAGCGUAGCUAACGCGUGAAAUCGACCGCCUGGGGAGUACGGUCGCAAGAUUAAAACUCAAAGGAAUUGACGGGGACCCGCACAAGCGGUGGAUGAUGUGGAUUAAUUCGAUGCAACGCGAAGAACCUUACCUGGUCUUGACAUGUACGGAAGAACUCAGAGACGAGUUUGUGCCUUCGGGAGCCGUAACACAGGUGCUGCAUGGCUGUCGUCAGCUCGUGUCGUGAGAUGUUGGGUUAAGUCCCGCAACGAGCGCAACUCUUGUCAUUAGUUGCCAUCAUUUAGUUGGGCACUCUAAUGAGACUGCCGGUGACAAACCGGAGGAAGGUGGGGAUGACGUCAAGUCCUCAUGGCCCUUAUGACCAGGGCUUCACACGUCAUACAAUGGUCGGUACAGAGGGUAGCCAAGCCGCGAGGUGGAGCCAAUCCCAGAAAACCGAUCGUAGUCCGGAUUGCACUCUGCAACUCGAGUGCAUGAAGUCGGAAUCGCUAGUAAUCGCAGGUCAGCAUACUGCGGUGAAUACGUUCCCGGGUCUUGUACACACCGCCCGUCACACCAUGGGAGUGGGGGAUACCAGAAGUAGGUAGGGUAACCGCAAGGAGC
RNAcentral lists this ribosomal RNA (778 nucleotides) under uncultured bacterium. Its description in RNAcentral is "bacterial SSU rRNA". It matches the Rfam family "Bacterial small subunit ribosomal RNA", at positions 670 to 1449 of the family's 1533-position model. The record is from RNAcentral.